GAUGAAGAACGCAGCGAAAUGCGAUACGUAAUGUGAAUUGCAAAUUCAGUGAAUCAUCGAGUCUUUGAACGCACAUUGCGCCCCCUGGUAUUCCGGGGGGCAUGCCUGUCCGAGCGUCAUUACUGCCCUCAAGCCCGGCUUGUGUGUUGGGCCCCGUCCUCCGAUCCCGGGGGACGGGCCCGAAAGGUAGCGGCGGCACCGCGUCCGGUCCUCGAGCGUAUGGGGCUUUGUCACCCGCUCUGUAGGCCCGGCCGGCGCUUGCCGAUCAACCCCAAUUUUUAUAGGUUGACCUCGGAUCAGGUAGGGAUACCCGCUGAACUUAAGCAUAUCAAUAAGCGGAGGA
RNAcentral lists this unclassified non-coding RNA (343 nucleotides) under soil metagenome. RNAcentral describes it as "partial contains 5.8S ribosomal RNA, internal transcribed spacer 2, and large subunit ribosomal RNA". The stretch from base 1 to 119 matches the Rfam family "5.8S ribosomal RNA", at positions 35 to 154 of the family's 154-position model. The record is from RNAcentral.